AUUGCCCUAGUAACGGCGAGUGAAGCGGCAACAGCUCAAAUUUGAAAUCUGGCCCUCGGGUCCGAGUUGUAAUUUGUAGAGGAUGCUUUUGGUGCGGUACCUUCCGAGUUCCCUGGAACGGGACGCCAUAGAGGGUGAGAGCCCCGUCUGGUUGGAUACCAAUCCUCUGUAAAGCUCCUUCGACGAGUCGAGUAGUUUGGGAAUGCUGCUCUAAAUGGGAGGUAUAUGUCUUCUAAAGCUAAAUACCGGCCAGAGACCGAUAGCGCACAAGUAGAGUGAUCGAAAGAUGAAAAGCACUUUGAAAAGAGGGUUAAACAGUACGUGAAAUUGUUGAAAGGGAAGCGCUUGUGACCAGACUUGGGCCCGGUUAAUCAUCCAGCGUUCUCGCUGGUGCACUUGGCCGGCCCAGGCCAGCAUCAGUUCGGCGCGGGGGAUAAAGACUUUGGGAAUGUGGCUCCUCCGGGAGUGUUAUAGCCCACUGUGUAAUACCCUGCGCUGGACUGAGGUUCGCGCAUCUGCAAGGAUGCUGGCGUAAUGGUCAUCAGCGACCCGUCUUGAAACACGGACCAAGGAGUCGUCUUCGUAUGCGAGUGUUCGGGUGUUAAACCCCUACGCGUAAUGAAAGUGAACGCAGGUGAGAGCUUCGGCGCAUCAUCGACCGAUCCUGAUGUUCUCGGAUGGAUUUGAGUAAGAGCAUACGGGGCCGGACCCGAAAGAAGGUGAACUAUGCCUGUAUAGGGUGAAGCCAGAGGAAACUCUGGUGGAGGCUCGCAGCGGUUCUGACGUGCAAAUCGAUCGUCAAAUAUGGGCAUGGGGGCGAAAGACUAAU
RNAcentral lists this ribosomal RNA (829 nucleotides) under Fusicolla violacea. RNAcentral's name for it is "eukaryotic LSU rRNA". It matches the Rfam family "Eukaryotic large subunit ribosomal RNA", at positions 74 to 935 of the family's 3401-position model. The record is from RNAcentral. Lineage: Eukaryota; Fungi; Ascomycota; Sordariomycetes; Hypocreales; Nectriaceae.